UACGAAGGGGGCAAGCGUCGUUCGGAAUUACUGGGCGUAAAGGGCGCGUAGGCGGCUUGCCAAGUCAGGCGUGAAAUUCCCGGGCUCAACCUGGGGGCUGCGCUUGAUACUGGCUGGCUUGAAUGCGGGAGAGGAUAGUGGAAUUCCCAGUGUAGAGGUGAAAUUCGUAGAUAUUGGGAAGAACACCGGUGGCGAAGGCGGCUAUCUGGCCCGUGAUUGACGCUGAGGCGCGAAAGCGUGGGGAGCAAACAGG
This 253-nucleotide ribosomal RNA is filed under the name uncultured bacterium. RNAcentral describes it as "partial 16S ribosomal RNA". It matches the Rfam family "Bacterial small subunit ribosomal RNA", at positions 524 to 776 of the family's 1533-position model. The record is from RNAcentral.